UACAGAGGGAGCAAGCGUUGUUCGGAAUUACUGGGCGUAAAGGGCGCGUAGGUGGCCUCGCAAGUCCUGUGUGAAAUCCCUCGGCUCAACUGGGGAACUGCACAGGAAACUGCGAGGCUUGAGUUCGGGAGAGGGACGCGGAAUUCCGGGUGUAGCGGUGAAAUGCGUAGAUAUCCGGAGGAACACCGGAGGCGAAGGCGGCGUCCUGGACCGACACUGACACUGAGGCGCGAAAGCUAGGGGAG
This 245-nucleotide ribosomal RNA is filed under the name uncultured bacterium. RNAcentral's name for it is "partial 16S ribosomal RNA". It matches the Rfam family "Bacterial small subunit ribosomal RNA", at positions 524 to 768 of the family's 1533-position model. The record is from RNAcentral.